GGAGGGGUUCCCGAGUGGCCAAAGGGGGCAGACUGUAAAUCUGCUGGCACAGCCUUCGAUGGUUCGAAUCCAUCUCCCUCCACCA
RNAcentral lists this transfer RNA (85 nucleotides) under Clostridiales bacterium. Its description in RNAcentral is "tRNA-Tyr". It matches the Rfam family "tRNA". Rfam says of the family: Transfer RNA (tRNA) molecules are approximately 80 nucleotides in length. RNAcentral also lists the same sequence under 1 other name. Lineage: Bacteria; Bacillati; Bacillota; Clostridia; Eubacteriales. The record is from RNAcentral.